ACUCCAGUCACUUUCCAGGCAAGACAGGGCUACCUUCAGCAUCUCUAGUGAAAGUGGUGAAUUAGCACUUCAGAAGUGAGAUGGCAUGGACAGAAGCUUCUGGGGCUGAGCUCACCAUUGGAAGCUUCUUUCCAGCUUCCUGAAGGUCUCUGGAGGUCUCUUCUUACCGGGGAGGAUGAUCCCUGGUGGCUCCCUGCUGACAUUCUUCAAAACUCGGCUAUUUCCCCAGUGUCCUGCUGAUAAAACAGAAGAGGAAAUGAUGAAACUGUUUGCAGUGGCCUGUAGUGAAGUGGCUCUUUCUGCCCUUGCUGUGCGUCUCACUCCAGGACCUCCUGAAGAGCGCUGAUCCUGCACUAUACAUGUGGUUCUUCUCCUAUGCCUCCCGACUUGUCAGAGAAUUUCUUGAGGACAUGGAUGACUGUCUGGCAGCGACAGUUCCAGGAUGCCAGUGUCUCUACAUCGUGACAACUUUGAAUGUGACCAUUGUAUCACCUAACGUCAUAGACUUCAAAAAGGGGAGGACAAAGGAAGGAAGGAGAGAUUUUAGAAAAGUAGUUUCUCUGUGCUCACUUUGGAAGACUUGGAUUACCAAAAUAUUGAAAAAUUGAAUCAAAAGCUAUUAAUCUGAAAAGAAACAAAUUAGCAGGGCAUAUUGUUUUCCUUGAAUGCUUUAGGUUAUAGAACAGGUUAAUAACAAUAUGAAUUCAACAUAGUGGGUCCCAAAGAGGAAAUGAUGAAACAAGAGAAUGAUCUGGAAAAGUGAUUUUCUACUGUCCUAUAGAAACAAAUUAAAGACCAAAACAAUAUUAUUUUUUUUUAAUGAUACUUUAGUUCUAGGGUACAUGUGCACAAUGUGCAGGUUUGAUACAUAGGUAUACAUGUGCCACGUUGGUUUGCUGCACUCAUCAACUCGUCAUUUACAUUAGGUAUUUCUCCUAAUGUUAUCCCUUCCCCCGUCGCCCAACCCCACGACAGGCCCGGGUGUGUGAUGUUCCCCGCCCUGUGUCCAAGUGUUUUCAUUCAAAACGACAUUAUUAUAGAACUGAUAAAUAGAUAAAAAUCAUCAAAAAAAAAAAAGCUGAAUAGGCACAACUCAAAAUAAGCUUACAGACAGAAAAAAAUCCUUAAGAUAAAGAUAGAAAUUGCAUGUGAAAAGCACAAAGCAAUUUCAGCCUAGUUCUUAAGCCUGGUUGUAGACAAUCUGCAAAUAGGACAGACAAAAUAUUCAAAGCUAUAAAACAAAAAAAAUUGCUCUGACAAAUGCAGAAACGAAUCUGCAGAUUGAAAGAGCACACCAUGACCCAAGAAAAACAAAUACUAAAUGAUCAGCACUGAGACAUAUCCUCAUUAACUUAUCAAACUUCAAGGACUUUUUUAAAAAGUAUUUUGGCAUAGGACAUAAAAAGUAAAGGAAGCCAGUUAGGGUUGCCUUUGACACUAACAAUCAAUUUUGCAUGCCAAGCUAUAAUAAAGCACUACCUAGGAUUUCCAAGGGAAAGUGUGACUCAAGAGUAUUUCACCCAUCCAGAAUGAGUUUCAGUAUAAAAGUCACAGAUAAAUAUUCUGACCCACGACAGAACUCAGGGAACACACACUCAUGAGUCCUUCUUGAGAGGAAUUAUUCAGUGAUGAACAGUCAAUUUAGAGAUGAAUAGAAAUAAAAUAUUUGGAAAUAUAGAGUCUGGGAUAAAAAAGACUUCUUAGGAACACAUAAUUCAUUUGAGUAUGGAACUCAUGGUAUUAAACAAUUACGGGAUUAAUGUUUCCACAACAGAAUGUGAAUAUUAUAAGCAAAGAUAUUGUAAAAAUAAUAUUAGAGCCAAAAUUGGGAAGUGAGGGGUAGGGAGAUGGGAGGAAGUACAAGUCUAAAGAUUUACUCAUCUUUCCGAUGUGUGAGUCAUUCAAUAUUGUCUAAAACUGAAACAUGUUGCUAAAAAAAUAAUGACUCCAACAUUUUAACAUUUUUCAUAGUAUCUUUUCUUAACCUUAUUUCCCCAAGAGGGAAUAUUGAGCAAAUAGUAUCUCCUGUGGUAAAGAAUAUUUAAUGAAAGGGCAACAAAUUUUCAGUUUUAUGUUAGUUUUACUUUUCUAAUGUUCAAUUCAAGUAACAUUAAAUCCAUUAGUUUUUUGAAGAAUGUGUAUAAUAUGAUCAUCUUUAUGUAAAAAUAUUUUUGCCUGUCUAUGUCUGUUUCUCUUUCAAUCUCUCUUUAGCAUAUGACAUGGCUUGACUCUGUGUCCCCACUCAAAUCUCACCUUGAAUUUUAAAAUCUCCAUAUGUCAAGGGAGGUACCAGGUGGAGAUAAUUGAAUCAUGGGGAGAAUUUCCCCCAUGCUGUUCUCAUGAUAGCGAGUGAGUUCUCAAAAUAUCUGAUGGUUUUAUCAGGGGCUUCCCCCUUCACUUGACACGCAUUCUCUCUCCUGCCGCCCUGUGAAGAGGUGCCUUCUGCCAUGAUUGUAAGUUUCUUGAGGCCUCCCUAGCCAUGUGGAACUGUGAGUUAAUUAAACCUCUUUUCUUUAUAAAUUACCCAGUCUUGGGUAUUUCUUCAUAGCAGGGUGAGAAUGGACUAAUGCGGCAUACAUUUCUCUUUCCUCUCCUCUCCUUUCCAAAUAGUAACUGGAUUUUCAUUCAGAUUUCCAUCUCUCUGCCAGGCAACCUAAGUACUUCAGGGGACUGUGAACCCAGCUCCAGGGCCAGGGUGGAAUGAUUGGGCUAAGGAUAAUUCCUUAUCCCAGGGAACUCAGGUCAAAACCAACCAGGGUGUGGCAUAUUCCUGCAGUAGAAUCUGGAAUGGGCUUGUGACCCAGCUCAGGCCAGUGAAACAUGAAGGAAGGCUUGGCGGAGAAUUCUGAAGAAGGAGCUUCUCAGCUUUUAAGAGAAGCUCACCAUAGGAAACUCCCUCUCUCCCUCUGGACUUGUUGGUUUAAAGACGCAAAACCUGGAGCUGCUACAGACAUUUUUCACCACUGCAAGUGAAGACUUCUGCCCCAUAGACAGCGACUGGAAGCUGGAUCAGGCCAACCCUGAAGAUCACUCUGUCUCUGGAUGUCGGUUACACAAAUCAAUACAUUUCCAUGUGUUAAAGCAAUUCGACUUGGAUUUUACAUAUAUUUUUGAAACUGAAAACAUUGUAAUCUAUAUAUCUACUUAGAAAGAUGUGAAAUAUCCACCUAAUAAUAAUCAUUUGGGGUUACUAAUAAAAAUUAUUUUUACUUUUCUUCAUUGCUUACUUUAUAA
This 3234-nucleotide long non-coding RNA is filed under the name Homo sapiens (human). RNAcentral's name for it is "HSALNT0319647". Lineage: Eukaryota; Metazoa; Chordata; Mammalia; Primates; Hominidae. The record is from RNAcentral.